AAGCAGGGGAUAACACUUGGAAACAGGUGCUAAUACCGUAUAACAACAAAAUCCGCAUGGAUUUUGUUUGAAAGGUGGCUUCGGCUAUCACUUCUGGAUGAUCCCGCGGCGUAUUAGUUAGUUGGUGAGGUAAAGGCCCACCAAGACGAUGAUACGUAGCCGACCUGAGAGGGUAAUCGGCCACAUUGGGACUGAGACACGGCCCAAACUCCUACGGGAGGCAGCAGUAGGGAAUCUUCCACAAUGGACGAAAGUCUGAUGGAGCAAUGCCGCGUGAGUGAAGAAGGGUUUCGGCUCGUAAAACUCUGUUGUUAAAGAAGAACACCUUUGAGAGUAACUGUUCAAGGGUUGACGGUAUUUAACCAGAAAGCCACGGCUAACUACGUGCCAGCAGCCGCGGUAAUACGUAGGUGGCAAGCGUUGUCCGGAUUUAUUGGGCGUAAAGCGAGCGCAGGCGGUUUUUUAAGUCUGAUGUGAAAGCCUUCGGCUUAACCGGAGAAGUGCAUCGGAAACUGGGAGACUUGAGUGCAGAAGAGGACAGUGGAACUCCAUGUGUAGCGGUGGAAUGCGUAGAUAUAUGGAAGAACACCAGUGGCGAAGGCGGCUGUCUAGUCUGUAACUGACGCUGAGGCUCGAAAGCAUGGGUAGCGAACAGGAUUAGAUACCCUGGUAGUCCAUGCCGUAAACGAUGAGUGCUAAGUGUUGGAGGGUUUCCGCCCUUCAGUGCUGCAGCUAACGCAUUAAGCACUCCGCCUGGGGAGUACGACCGCAAGGUUGAAACUCAAAGGAAUUGACGGGGGCCCGCACAAGCGGUGGAGCAUGUGGUUUAAUUCGAAGCUACGCGAAGAACC
This 851-nucleotide ribosomal RNA is filed under the name Levilactobacillus brevis. RNAcentral's name for it is "bacterial SSU rRNA". It matches the Rfam family "Bacterial small subunit ribosomal RNA", at positions 134 to 970 of the family's 1533-position model. Lineage: Bacteria; Bacillati; Bacillota; Bacilli; Lactobacillales; Lactobacillaceae. The record is from RNAcentral.